RNAcentral lists this ribosomal RNA (275 nucleotides) under uncultured bacterium. RNAcentral describes it as "partial 16S ribosomal RNA". It matches the Rfam family "Bacterial small subunit ribosomal RNA", at positions 338 to 605 of the family's 1533-position model. The record is from RNAcentral.
CCUACGGGGGGCUGCAGUGGGGAAUAUUGGACAAUGGGGGAAACCCUGAUCCAGCAAUGCCGUGUGGGUGAAGACGGUCUGCGGAUUGUAAAGCCCUUUAGGCGGGGAGGAACGGCGUUAGGUAAAUAAUCUAGCGUUCUGACGUUACCUGCAGAAUAAGCACCGGCUAACUCCGUGCCAGCAGCCGCGGUAAUACGGAGGGUGCGAGCGUUAAUCGGAAUUACUGGGCGUAAAGCGUGCGUAGGCGGAUAGAUCAGUCAGCCGUGAAAGCCCUG